This 484-nucleotide ribosomal RNA is filed under the name uncultured bacterium. RNAcentral's name for it is "partial 16S ribosomal RNA". It matches the Rfam family "Bacterial small subunit ribosomal RNA", at positions 30 to 507 of the family's 1533-position model. The record is from RNAcentral.
AUUGAACGCUAGCGGGAUGCUUUACACAUGCAAGUCGAACGGCAGCGCGGACUUCGGUCUGGCGGCGAGUGGCGAACGGGUGAGUAAUGUAUCGGAACGUGCCCAGUAGCGGGGGAUAACUACGCGAAAGCGUAGCUAAUACCGCAUAAGCCCUACGGGGGAAAGCAGGGGAUCGUAAGACCUUGCACUCUUGGAGCGCCCGAUAUCGGAUUAGCUAGUUGGUGAGGUAACGGCUCACCAAGGCGACGAUCCGUAGCUGGUUUGAGAGGACGACCAGCCACACUGGGACUGAGACACGGCCCAGACUCCUACGGGAGGCAGCAGUGGGGAAUUUUGGACAAUGGGGGCAACCCUGAUCCAGCCAUCCCGCGUGUGCGAUGAAGGCCUUCGGGUUGUAAAGCACUUUUGGCAGGAAAGAAACGCCGCGGGCUAAUACCCCGGGGAACUGACGGUACCUGCAGAAUAAGCACCGGCUAACUACGUG